Molecule: ribosomal RNA, 729 nt
Filed under: uncultured Alphaproteobacteria bacterium
Lineage: Bacteria; Pseudomonadati; Pseudomonadota; Alphaproteobacteria
Description: bacterial SSU rRNA
Rfam family: Bacterial small subunit ribosomal RNA
Source: RNAcentral
UGGCGGAGGCUACACUGCAGGUUAAGCGCGCCUUCGGGUGAGCGCCGGACGGUUUAGUAACGCGUGGGAACGUGCCCUUCUCUACGGAAUAGCCUCUGGAAACGGAGAGUAAUACCGUAUACGCCCUUUGGGGGAAAGAUUUAUCGGAGAAGGAUCGGCCCGCGUUAGAUUAAGUAGUUGGUGGGGUAACGGCCUACCAAGCCUACGAUCUAUAGCUGGUUUUAGAGGAUGAUCAGCAACACUGGGACUGAGACACGGACCAGACUCCUACGGGAGGCAGCAGUGGGGAAUCUUAGACAAUGGGGGCAACCCUGAUCUAGCCAUGCCGCGUGAGUGAUGAAGGCCUUAGGGUCGUAAAGCUCUUUCGCCUGUGAUGAUAAUGACUGUAGCCAGGUAAAGAAACCCCGGAUAACUCCGUGCCAGCAGCCGCGGUAAUACGGAGGGGGUCAGCAGUUGUUCGGAAUUACUGGGCGUAAAGCGCGCGUAGGCGGACUUUAAAAGGUUGGGGGUGAAAUCCCGGGGCUUAAGCCCCGGAAUUGCCUCCAGAAAUGAUAGUCUAGAGUUCGAAAGAGGUGAGUGGAAUUCCAAGUGUAGACGGUGACCUCCGUAGAUAUUCGGGAGGAACACCAGUGGGCGAAGGCGGAUCACUGGGUUCGAUACUGACGCUGAGGUGGAGAAGUGUGGGGACACACAGAUCAAUACCCUGUAGUCACACCGUAACAUGAUGCC